GGGGAAUAUUGGACAAUGGGCGAAAGCCUGAUCCAGCAACGCCGCGUGAGGGAUGACUGCCUUCGGGUUGUAAACCUCUUUCAGUACCGACGAAGCGCAAGUGACGGUAGGUACAGAAGAAGCACCGGCCAACUACGUGCCAGCAGCCGCGGUAAUACGUAGGGUGCGAGCGUUGUCCGGAAUUAUUGGGCGUAAAGGGCUCGUAGGCGGUUUGUCGCGUCGGGAGUGAAAACUCAGGGCUUAACUCUGAGCUUGCUUCCGAUACGGGCAGACUAGAGGUAUGCAGGGGAGAACGGAAUUCCUGGUGUAGCGGUGAAAUGCGCAGAUAUCAGGAGGAACACCGGUGGCGAAGGCGGUUCUCUGGGCAUUACCUGACGCUGAGGAGCGAAAGUGUGGGGAGCGAAC
This 405-nucleotide ribosomal RNA is filed under the name uncultured bacterium. RNAcentral's name for it is "bacterial SSU rRNA". It matches the Rfam family "Bacterial small subunit ribosomal RNA", at positions 356 to 773 of the family's 1533-position model. The record is from RNAcentral.